GGACUCUUCUUCCUCUCACUUUCCCAAUUCUACUACUUGUGUUCAUUCCCAAAUCCCCCAAAUCCCUCCAUUACCGGACCUUGACCUGUAGCAGCGCAAGUCGCUCUCCAGUCUCCUCCCAUGGCGACACCCGAAGACGACCCGCGGACCCAGCCUCUCCCUCCCUACCGUCAGAUGAUUUUGGCCGCGAUCUCCGCCGCCGGUGGCCACAGCGGCGCCAGCAAGUCCUCGAUCUCGGAUCACAUCGAGUCCACUUACUCUGACCGCCUCCCGCCGUCCCACGCCUCACUGCUCGCUGCUUAUCUCGCUACCAUGGCCUCCGCCGGCGAGCUGGUCGUCGUCGGCCAUGACGUCUACCUCCGCCCCGAUCCGGAAGCUCCUCCGCCCAAGCGCCGCGGCCGGCCUCCCAAGCCCCGGCACCCCGCCCCCGCCGAUGCCGCUCCCAAGCGUCGUGGCCGCCCGCCCAAGAGCGUCGACCCCCUGGCCCCGCCCAAGAUCCCGCGCCCCCGCGGACGCCCCCCGAAGCAAGACGGUGACCCCGAUCAGCCUGGCCUGGCGAAGAGACCGAGGGGGCGACCGCUGAAGGCCAGGCCGCCGCAGUUCACCGAAGUGGGGUUCGUGUGAGCUCCGCUCUGCUCCCGCAACGUGAGAAAGCUAAUUGUUUGACCCAAAUUGGCCUUCUGCUGCUGGAAUCAACUCGAUAUGAAAGCUUCGGCUGUGGUUUUCUAGUAGGAUUCACCCGACAAGAAGGAAUCACUUGGGGGAUGCUGAUGAUUGACCACAGCUGGAUAAGCACAAUAUAUAUGAAUGGGAUAGACAGAUGCUUUGGAAAGUUUAGGAAGAAAGGAAAAAAGGGCAAGUGUUCACUUGAAGAAUGUGGUUGAACAUUACCUUUCUUCUUCACCUAUUCAAAUGUUGAGUAAUGCAAUAGAUUCAAAGAACAGAGAGAGAGAGAGGCUACUCUUAGUGUAUGGAGGAUGAUGAAUUUGGGCAUUUGACAGCCUGAGAUGCGGUGGAGGGUCAUCCAGUGAUGCAAGGGCAGUUGAAGUUGGUGACAGACUUAACCUAAUUAGGGUCUUUAGUUCUUACCCUUUUCUAGAAGUUUUCAUUAGCUCACUUUCCUUUGCUAUCUUUUCUUCUUCAUUUUCAGGUUUGGAA
Zingiber officinale is the source of this 1158-nucleotide RNA transcript. It is a transcript of the gene named HMG-Y-related protein A-like, with no coding region annotated. Lineage: Eukaryota; Viridiplantae; Streptophyta; Magnoliopsida; Zingiberales; Zingiberaceae. The record is from RefSeq and is a predicted model, not a curated record. The transcript is spliced from 3 exons.